UCGAGAAUCUUCCGCAAUGGACGAAAGUCUGACGGAGCGACGCCGCGUGGUUGAUGAAGUCCUUAGGGACGUAAAAACCUUUUAUGAGGGAAGAAGUUUAUUGACAUUACCUCAUGAAUAAGGGGCUCCUAACUCUGUGCCAGCAGGAGCGGUAAUACAGAGGCCCCAAGCAUUAUCCGGAUUUACUGGGCGUAAAGGGUGCGUAGGCGGUUAUAUUAGUCGGGUGUAAAAUCCAGAGGCUCAACCUCUGGCUGGCAUUCGAAACGGUAUAACUAGAAGAAGUCAGAGGCAAGCAGAACUCAUGGUGUAGGGGUGAAAUCCGUUGAUAUCAUGGGGAAUACCAAAUGCGAAGGCAGCUUGCUGGGACUUUCUUGACGCUGAGGCACGAAAGCGUGGGUAG
Molecule: ribosomal RNA, 400 nt
Filed under: uncultured bacterium
Lineage: Bacteria
Description: bacterial SSU rRNA
Rfam family: Bacterial small subunit ribosomal RNA
Source: RNAcentral